AGUGAACGCUGGCGGUAGGCCUAACACAUGCAAGUCGAACGGCAGCACAGUAAGAGCUUGCUCUUACGGGUGGCGAGUGGCGGACGGGUGAGGAAUACAUCGGAAUCUACUUUUUCGUGGGGGAUAACGUAGGAAAACUUACGCUAAUACCGCAUACGACCUACGGGUGAAAGCAGGGGAUCUUCGGACCUUGCGCGAUUGAAUGAGCCGAUGUCGGAUUAGCUAGUUGGCGGGGUAAAGGCCCACCAAGGCGACGAUCCGUAGCUGGUCUGAGAGGAUGAUCGGCCACACUGGAACUGAGACACGGUCCAGACUCCUACGGGAGGCAGCAGUGGGGAAUAUUGGACAAUGGGCGCAAGCCUGAUCCAGCCAUACCGCGUGGGUGAAGAAGGCCUUCGGGUUGUAAAGCCCUUUUGUUGGGAAAGAAAAGCAGCAGGUUAAUACCCCGCUGUUCUGACGGUACCCAAAGAAUAAGCACCGGCUAACUUCGUG
Molecule: ribosomal RNA, 492 nt
Filed under: uncultured bacterium
Lineage: Bacteria
Description: partial 16S ribosomal RNA
Rfam family: Bacterial small subunit ribosomal RNA
Source: RNAcentral